Non-coding RNA from Otolemur garnettii (small-eared galago), 108 nucleotides. Lineage: Eukaryota; Metazoa; Chordata; Mammalia; Primates; Galagidae. The record is from Rfam.
GGCAGUGCAGGUUUCAGCCGCCCAUCUACUAAAAUUUGAACAAUACAGAGGUUAUAGUGGUCCUUGCACAAGGGUGACAAGCAAAUUUACGAAGCAUUCCAUAUUAAA